This 914-nucleotide ribosomal RNA is filed under the name uncultured archaeon. RNAcentral's name for it is "bacterial SSU rRNA". It matches the Rfam family "Archaeal small subunit ribosomal RNA", at positions 1 to 922 of the family's 1478-position model. The record is from RNAcentral.
UUCCGGUUGAUCCCGCCGGACCUGACUGCUAUCGGAUUGAUACUAAGCCAUGCGAGUCUUUGUAGUAAUACAAGGCAUACGGCUCAGUAACGCGUAGUCAACCUACCCUAUGGACAAGAAUAAUCUCGGGAAACUGAGCAUAAUUCUUGAUAGAUCAUAAUGCCUGGAAUGGUUUAUGGUUAAAAUGAUUCGUCGCCAUAGGAUGGGACUGCGGCCUAUCAGCUUGUUGGUGAGGUAAUGGCCCACCAAGGCGAUAACAGGUACGGGCUCUGAGAGGAGAAGCCCGGAGAUGGGUACUGAGACAAGGACCCAGGCCCUAUGGGGCGCAGCAGGCGAGAAAACUUUGCAAUGUGCGAAAGCACGACAAGGUUAGUCCGAGUGAUUUCUGCUAAAGAGAUCUUUUGCUAGUUAUAAAACCACUAGUGAAUAAGGGGUGGGCAAGUUCUGGUGUCAGCCGCCGCGGUAAAACCAGCACCUCAAGUGGUCAGGAUGAUUAUUGGGCCUAAAGCAUCCGUAGCCGGCUCUGUAAGUUUUCGGUUAAAUCUAUGCGCUCAACGUAUGGGCUGCCGAAAAUACUGCAGAGAUAGGGAGUGGGAGAGGUAGACGGUACUCGGUAGGAAGGGGUAAAAUCCUUUGAUCUAUCGAUGACCACCUGUGGCGAAGGCGGUCUACCAGAACACGUUCGACGGUGAGGGAUGAAAGCUGGGGGAGCAAACCGGAUUAGAUACCCGGGUAGUCCCAGCCGUAGACGAUGCAGACUCGAUGAUGCAUUGGCAUAUAGCCAGUGCAGUGUCGCAGGGAAGCCGUUAAGUCUGCCGCCUGGGAAGUACGUACGCAAGUAUGAAACUUAAAGGAAUUGGCGGGGGAGCACCACAAGGGGUGAAGCCUGCGGUUCAAUUGGAAUCAACGCCGGA